This 491-nucleotide ribosomal RNA is filed under the name uncultured bacterium. Its description in RNAcentral is "bacterial SSU rRNA". It matches the Rfam family "Bacterial small subunit ribosomal RNA", at positions 28 to 507 of the family's 1533-position model. The record is from RNAcentral.
GAUGAACGCUAGCUACAGGCUUAACACAUGCAAGUCGAGGGAAACGACAUCGAAAGCUUGCUUUUGAUGGGCGUCGACCGGCGCACGGGUGAGUAACGCGUAUCCAACCUGCCCACCACUUGGGGAUAACCUUGCGAAAGUAAGACUAAUACCCAAUGACGUCUCUAGAAGACAUCUGAAAGAGAUUAAAGAUUUAUCGGUGAUGGAUGGGGAUGCGUCUGAUUAGCUUGUUGGCGGGGUAACGGCCCACCAAGGCGACGAUCAGUAGGGGUUCUGAGAGGAAGGUCCCCCACAUUGGAACUGAGACACGGUCCAAACUCCUACGGGAGGCAGCAGUGAGGAAUAUUGGUCAAUGGGCGCAGGCCUGAACCAGCCAAGUCGCGUGAGGGAGGACGGUCCUACGGAUUGUAAACCUCUUUUGUCGGGGAGUAACGUGCGGGACGCGUCCCGUAUUGAGAGUACCCGAAGAAAAAGCAUCGGCUAACUCCGUG